AUUAGAUACUGAGAGACACCUAAGGUGUCAAAAUUUUAUUGGUUUCGUUUGGUUUUUUUUUUUUUCUCUUCUCUUCAUUUGCUUUUCUCUCUCUCGACACAAACGAAGCAAACGAGAGUAUCAAUCGAUAUUUCAAAAUCGAGUAGAACAACCCAAUCGAAGUUCUCAUCAGUUUCACAAUCAAAAUAAUUUUUGAAAAAUUUUGAGUAGCUAAUUCUGGGUAUUAUUAUUUUGAUUUUUGAAGGAAAAAACUGAAACUUGGGAUUGUAAAGCAGAAACAAUGAGCUCCAAUGGUGGUGGCGACGACUAUAGCACCAAAAGCUUUUGAUGGUCAGCGAGAGCUAUAAAAUCACUUGCAAUGGGAGAAUUGGAGGCUAGGAAUCUCAAGUAUCGAAGCACUGGGACUCUUCUCAUGGGUAUCUUAGUCGAAGUAAUCAGGUGUAUACAAGAGUAAAGAUGCAUUGAAGAUGGAGAAGUAGCGGCACAUCAAGAAUCUUCUGACAUGGUAUAAUAUGACCCAAUGACCAAGAUCAUUCUCAUCCUUCACCAUGUCUUGUGAUCUUAGCUUUUGUUUCUGCUGUUUUGAUUCUUGAACAAACUCAAAAAAAAAAAAAAACUAUCUUGCUUAAGUUUGAAGACACCCUAAAAUGACUAAUGGGAGGACAAAACUUAAAAACAAGGAUGUGAAGAGAUUAAUAUUAUUAAAAGU
This is a non-coding RNA of Camelina sativa (false flax), 709 nucleotides long. Lineage: Eukaryota; Viridiplantae; Streptophyta; Magnoliopsida; Brassicales; Brassicaceae. The record is from RefSeq and is a predicted model, not a curated record.